RNAcentral lists this ribosomal RNA (253 nucleotides) under uncultured bacterium. RNAcentral describes it as "partial 16S ribosomal RNA". It matches the Rfam family "Bacterial small subunit ribosomal RNA", at positions 524 to 776 of the family's 1533-position model. The record is from RNAcentral.
UACGUAGGGGGCAAGCGUUGUCCGGAUUUAUUGGGCGUAAAGAGCGUGUAGGCGGCUGGGUAGGUCCGUUGUGAAAACUCGAGGCUCAACCUCGAGACGCCGAUGGAAACCCUCCAGCUAGAGUCCGGAAGAGGAGAGUGGAAUUCCUGGUGUAGCGGUGAAAUGCGCAGAUAUCAGGAAGAACACCCGUGGCUAAGGCGGCUCUCUAGUACGGUACUGACGCGGAGACGCGAAAGCGGGGGGAGCGAACAGG